UACGUAGGGAGCAAGCGUUGUCCGGAAUCAUUGGGCGUAAAGCGCGCGUAGGUGGCCCCAUAAGUCCGCUGUGAAAGUCAAAGGCUCAACCUUUGAAAGCCGGUGGAUACUGUGGGACUAGAGUACGGAAGAGGCGAGUGGAAUUCCUGGUGUAGCGGUGGAAUGCGCAGAUAUCAGGAGGAACACCAAUAGCGAAGGCAGCUCGCUGGGACGUUACUGACACUGAGGCGACGAAAGCGUGGGGAGCGAACAGG
Molecule: ribosomal RNA, 254 nt
Filed under: uncultured bacterium
Lineage: Bacteria
Description: partial 16S ribosomal RNA
Rfam family: Bacterial small subunit ribosomal RNA
Source: RNAcentral